AGCGAACGCUGGCGGCAUGCCUAACACAUGCAAGUCGAGCGCUCCCAGCAAUGGGGGAGCGGCGGACGGGUGAGUAACGCGUAGGAACGUAUCCUGAGGUGGGGGAUAACCCUGGGAAACUAGGGCUAAUACCGCAUGAUGGCGAGAGCCCAAAGAUUUAUCGCCUUGGGAGCGGCCUGCGUCUGAUUAGCUUGUUGGUGGGUAACGGCCUACCAAGGCGAUGAUCAGUAGCUGGUCUGAGAGGAUGAUCAGCCACACUGGGACUGAGACACGGCCCAGACUCCUACGGGAGGCAGCAGUGGGGAAUAUUGGACAAUGGGGGCAACCCUGAUCCAGCCAUGCCGCGUGAGUGAAGAAGGCCCUCGGGUUGUAAAGCUCUUUUGUCCGGAAAGAAAAGCAAUCGGUUAAUACCCGGUUGUUCUGACGUACCGGAAGAAUAAGCACCGGCUAACUUCGUG
Molecule: ribosomal RNA, 458 nt
Filed under: uncultured bacterium
Lineage: Bacteria
Description: bacterial SSU rRNA
Rfam family: Bacterial small subunit ribosomal RNA
Source: RNAcentral